Hippopotamus amphibius kiboko is the source of this 2459-nucleotide long non-coding RNA. RefSeq lists it as uncharacterized. The record is from RefSeq and is a predicted model, not a curated record. Lineage: Eukaryota; Metazoa; Chordata; Mammalia; Artiodactyla; Hippopotamidae. The transcript has 4 exons.
CCCAGGAAAGAGGCGGGCCCGAAAGUUGAGCUGUUGAAUUAUGCAUGACCUCCAAGUCCGGAGCCUGCCUGCCCCCACUCGUCCCUCCCCUUCCUCCUCCUCCUUCCACCCCCGGCUCCAGAAAACCCUGGGCGUGCUGGGUACUUUGCUGGGUACUUUGCAGGGGUGAUUCAGGUCACUAAGGGUUGAGAAGAAACCUGGUCAAAAAUGGGGCGCUGGAAAAGGACAGCGAUCUCGCCCCCUCUCCCGCCACAUCCGCGCGGGUAGUGGGAGGAUUGGAAUGUCCCUGACGCCCUCCAGAGAGCCUGGAGCCGGGAUGGGACCGGAACAGGUGGCUAGGAGUAGAGAGGGUGUGCCAGUGACCCGGAAAAAACCACCCACCCUCCCACCGACUGGAUCCAGGCGAGGAGUGGAGACCCCCUGCUUCUAGAUCUAGCCUGGCAAGACAGCUGCGGCAAGUAGGAGGCAGCCUGGUCCUCCGGAGCAGCUCAGUUCCUUCUCUCCCUUGUCCCCCCUCCAUUGGGGGGAAAGGGAGGGUGGCUGCGAGGAGUCAAGCAUAUACAAGCUCUACUAUUAUCUCUCUGUCUCAGAACGGUCCAGACUCAAGGGAGGUCACUUUUCGUGCCUGGUCAAGAAAAGUCAGUUCGUGGUUUGGAGCCAAGGAGACGAGGAGAGGACCAGCCAAACCAAGACAGGGUAGAGGGAUGGCCCAGAAGGUAAACGCUGCUCCACAAGAGAACUAACCCUAGAGGAAACAGCCACAGAUUCCCCUGGAAACGACGGAGACGCCUUCCUUCCAGCAUUACUUGCCAUGAUAUUCCAGGGUUCCUGAGGAGCUGGCCACCUCUUCCGUCAAUGGAUUCCCGACUGAUAACUGGCUCAGACUCAGGAACUGAGCAAGGAAUCGUGACUGUUUAGGGGGGCAGCCAGUCCCAGCCCCCUGCUGCUUCAUUCUGGCCUUAUUCUGAUUAUAGAUGUGAAGUAGCACCCUUCAGGUUAUGGACAACACCUAGAAUGUGAAGAAAGCGAUGAAAUACCUUCAAUGCUAUCAUUAAAUGUCAGAGGUGACUUAUUGAAAAGGCAAUCUUACUUAAUAGUCCAAAAUAUUUAAAGCCAUGAACUCCUGCUUUUCGGUGCAACCCAAACAGAAACGUUUAUGUAUGUUCACUCAGGGACAUGAACUAGAAUAUUCAUUGUUCCCAGCAGUGAAAGCUCCAAAUGGAAAACACCCAAGAGUCCUUAAAGAGUGGCUAAUAAAUAAACAAUGAGGCACUAUGCAGCAACAGAAUGUAGAAUACGUUAGAAUUAACAGCUACAACUACAAACAUAAGGGAUAAAUCUUACAUACGCAAUACUGAACAAAAGAAGAUAAAUGCUCAAGAAUAUAUACCGUAUAAUCACAUUUAUAUAAAUUAUAAAAACAGGAAAUCUGUGCUGUUUGAAGUCAAAAUAAUGAUCACUUGGCAGCAGGAGAGUGACUUGAAGGGAUUACAGGGAGUGGGGUGCUUCCGGCUACUGGAAUGUUUUGCUUCUUGAUCUGGAUACUGGCUCCAUGGUUAUGUUCAGCCUGUGAAAGUUAAUCAAACUGUACACUCAUGAUAUGUGCAUUUUUUGUAUGUGUAUCAUGUUUCAACAAAAAGUUCAAAAUGUAUAUUUAAAGCCACAAGAUACCCAAGGAGAACUGAAUACAACAUUUUGAAUUUCCUACUGUAAAUCAGUAGUUCCCAAAGGUUGAGAAGCACUGCAAUCACCCUUUGCCCAACCUACAGACCCUCUGGGGUGGAGGAGGGUAAUUCAAGCACGUUAGCACCGGGGCGAGGCCGACGAGGUGGGUUUCCACGACCCAUGGCAGAAUACGGUCAGAGGGGUAUUCGUGGGUUUCUUAGCCUCCUAUACUCUGACCACUUCAGACUGUUUCCUAAAUUAUACAGGAUAUGAAAAGCUCUAGCCAACUGUUUGGUCUUUACUCCUGGGGAUAGUGUCUGCCCCUAGUCUCAGUCUCUUUCCAAUCCUGGUCGAAGCAGCUAGACAGUUCUAAUGGACAUCUGAUGUUUUCAUCUGUCCUGCAUUUCCACCCUCCUUCUGAAAAUAAAGCACUUCUGUUUCUAUGGAGGACCCAUUCCAAGGAGUUUAGGUGAGACUGACAGCCACCCCAGCCCUCUAGCCUUAGGAGUAGGACUAUGACUCGGGUCUGGCCAGAGUUCUGUCUAGGUCUUUUUUACCUGCAAUGUCUAGAGACUUAGCCUCUUUACACUGAAGCCACGAGCAAGGAAGGUACAAGUCUGGCCAUUGUAGCAUAAAUCACAUUCUCCAUAUGCAAGAAGCCAGUGUAGAAUAAAGACAAUUAAAGCCAAGUGAACAUUAAGGACAGGGCAAAAGAUAGAUCUCCAAAGAUAGUGUUUGAGUUCCUGGAUAUAACCAUUCCUGAAAUUCACAACUAUACAGUUAUAGGACCAAUA